GUAUUUUGAAUUGUUUAUUCAUAAUAUUUUUCAGACAAAAUCACUAAAGUUCUGAGUAGAUAUAAAUCCCAAAGGUGACCAAACGGGCUUUUGACAGCCAGCUGGCCUCCAGUGAGAUGACAUUGCACACAAGGUGGAUAUGGAUUUUUUUAAAAGUGCCAUAAAAACACUUUGAUUAUGAAUGAUCCUUCCGCAGGUUCACCUACGGAAA
RNAcentral lists this unclassified non-coding RNA (211 nucleotides) under uncultured fungus. RNAcentral describes it as "sequence contains ITS1, 5.8S rRNA gene". Lineage: Eukaryota; Fungi. The record is from RNAcentral.